GACGAACGCUGGCGGCGUGCUUAACACAUGCAAGUCGAACGGAAAGGCCCUGCUUUUGUGGGGUGCUCGAGUGGCGAACGGGUGAGUAACACGUGAGUAACCUGCCCUUGACUUUGGGAUAACUUCAGGAAACUGGGGCUAAUACCGGAUAGGAGCUCCUGCUGCAUGGUGGGGGUUGGAAAGUUUCGGCGGUUGGGGAUGGACUCGCGGCUUAUCAGCUUGUUGGUGGGGUAGUGGCUUACCAAGGCUUUGACGGGUAGCCGGCCUGAGAGGGUGACCGGCCACAUUGGGACUGAGAUACGGCCCAGACUCCUACGGGAGGCAGCAGUGGGGAAUAUUGCACAAUGGGCGGAAGCCUGAUGCAGCAACGCCGCGUGCGGGAUGACGGCCUUCGGGUUGUAAACCGCUUUCGCCUGUGACGAAGCGUGAGUGACGGUAAUGGGUAAAGAAGCACCGGCUAACUACGUGCCAGCAGCCGCGGUGAUACGUAGGGUGCGAGCGUUGUCCGGAUUUAUUGGGCGUAAAGGGCUCGUAGGUGGUUGAUCGCGUCGGAAGUGUAAUCUUGGGGCUUAACCCUGAGCGUGCUUUCGAUACGGGUUGACUUGAGGAAGGUAGGGGAGAAUGGAAUUCCUGGUGGAGCGGUGGAAUGCGCAGAUAUCAGGAGGAACACCAGUGGCGAAGGCGGUUCUCUGGGCCUUUCCUGACGCUGAGGAGCGAAAGCGUGGGGAGCGAACAGGCUUAGAUACCCUGGUAGUCCACGCUGUAAACGGUGGGUACUAGGUGUGGGGUCCAUUCCACGGGUUCCGUGCCGUAGCUAGCGCUUUAAGUACCCCGCCUGGGGAGUACGGCCGCAAGGCUAAAACUCAAAGGAAUUGACGGGGCCCCGCACAAGCGGCGGAGCAUGCGGAUUAAUUCGAUGCAACGCGUAGAACCUUACCUGGGUUUGACAUGGAUCGGGAGUGCUCAGAGAUGGGUGUGCCUCUUUUGGGGUCGGUUCACAGGUGGUGCAUGGCUGUCGUCAGCUCGUGUCGUGAGAUGUUGGGUUAAGUCCCGCAACGAGCGCAACCCUUGUUCACUGUUGCCAGCACGUUAUGGUGGGGACUCAGUGGAGACCGCCGGGGUCAACUCGGAGGAAGGUGGGGAUGACGUCAAGUCAUCAUGCCCCUUAUGUCCAGGGCUUCACGCAUGCUACAAUGGCUGGUACAGAGAGUGGCGAGCCUGUGAGGGUGAGCGAAUCUCGGAAAGCCGGUCUCAGUUCGGAUUGGGGUCUGCAACUCGACCUCAUGAAGUCGGAGUCGCUAGUAAUCGCAGAUCAGCAACGCCGCGGUGAAUACGUUCCCGGG
RNAcentral lists this ribosomal RNA (1343 nucleotides) under uncultured bacterium. RNAcentral's name for it is "16S ribosomal RNA". It matches the Rfam family "Bacterial small subunit ribosomal RNA", at positions 28 to 1378 of the family's 1533-position model. The record is from RNAcentral.